Leguminivora glycinivorella is the source of this 334-nucleotide long non-coding RNA. RefSeq lists it as uncharacterized. Lineage: Eukaryota; Metazoa; Arthropoda; Insecta; Lepidoptera; Tortricidae. The record is from RefSeq and is a predicted model, not a curated record. The transcript is spliced from 3 exons.
CACUACCAUGCUCUUCGACGGCGGUCGUGAACUCUCGUUAGUCAUACUGUAAACAAAACUAAGGCGCAUGCAGUCGACCGCUUUCUGCUCGGAGUAGAACUCGUGGAAGUUGGGGAUGCCCGCGAACAUCACGCCCACCUCGUGCCGCCACUGCGAGUACAGCUCCUGCCGGCCAAACCAAACUUUCCCCUUUACAAUACUAUAUUGUGCAACAUGGAAAUGGUUGACGACGUGGUCGGGCAGGAUGUGCUUGAGCAGGUACCGGUUGGUGCGCUGGUUGUCGCGCAUCUGCUCGAGAUUGGUCUCGGCCUGCAGCUUCCACAGGAAGUCCAGC